GGGAUAUUGCACAAUGGGCGAAAGCCUGAUGCAGCGACGCCGCGUGAGGGAAGACGGUCUUCGGAUUGUAAACCUCUGUCUUUGGGGAAGAAAUCAGACGGUACCCAAAGAGGAAGCUCCGGCUAACUACGUGCCAGCAGCCGCGGUAAUACGUAGGGAGCGAGCGUUGUCCGGAAUUACUGGGUGUAAAGGGAGCGUAGGCGGGCUUGUGAGUUGAAUGUCUAAUCCACCGGCUCAACCGGUGAUCGCGUUCAAAACUGCAGGUCUUGAGUGAAGUAGAGGCAGGCGGAAUUCCUAGUGUAGCGGUGAAAUGCGUAGAUAUUAGGAGGAACACCAGUGGCGAAGGCGGCCUGCUGGGCUUUAACUGACGCUGAGGCUCGAAAGCGUGGGGAGCAAACAGG
Molecule: ribosomal RNA, 401 nt
Filed under: uncultured bacterium
Lineage: Bacteria
Description: bacterial SSU rRNA
Rfam family: Bacterial small subunit ribosomal RNA
Source: RNAcentral